UACGGGGGGGGCAAGCGUUGUUCGGAAUUACUGGGCGUAAAGGGCUCGUAGGUGGCCAACUAAGUCAGACGUGAAAUCCCUCAGCUUAACUGGGGAACUGCGUCUGAUACUGGAUGGCUUGAGUUUGGGAGAGGAACGCGGAAUUCCAGGUGUAGCGGUGAAAUGCGUAGAUAUCUGGAGGAACACCGGUGGCGAAGGCGGCGUUCUGGACUGCAACUGACACUGAAAAACGAAAGCCAGGGGAGCAAACGGG
Molecule: ribosomal RNA, 253 nt
Filed under: uncultured bacterium
Lineage: Bacteria
Description: partial 16S ribosomal RNA
Rfam family: Bacterial small subunit ribosomal RNA
Source: RNAcentral